Molecule: transfer RNA, 77 nt
Filed under: Patescibacteria group bacterium
Lineage: Bacteria
Description: tRNA-Val
Rfam family: tRNA
About the family: Transfer RNA (tRNA) molecules are approximately 80 nucleotides in length. Their secondary structure includes four short double-helical elements and three loops (D, anti-codon, and T loops).
Source: RNAcentral
GGGCGCGUAGCUCAGUUGGUUAGAGCGUUACGUUGACAUCGUAAAGGUCAGAGGUUCGACUCCUCUCGCGCCCACCG